Long non-coding RNA from Symphalangus syndactylus (siamang), 8255 nucleotides. RefSeq lists it as uncharacterized. NCBI's taxonomy places the organism in Eukaryota, Metazoa, Chordata, Mammalia, Primates, Hylobatidae. The record is from RefSeq and is a predicted model, not a curated record.
CCUAGUGGCGCAUGCCUGUAAUCCCAGCUACUUGGGAGGCUGAGGCAGGAGAAUUACUUGAACCCAGGAGGUGGAGGUUAUGGUGAGCCGAGAUUGCACAUUGCACACCAGCCUGGGCAACAAGAGCGAAACUCCAUCUCAAAAAAAAAAAAAAAAAAAAAAAUCAAAUAGUGUGAUGAAUUCCUUGAUGAAAAUAAAAAUAGGAUCAUGUGAUAGAAUAACUGGAGGUUAUUUUAGAUUGGUGAUGGGGAAAGCCUCUCUCUGACACUUAAGCUGAGAUCUGAAAGACAAUAAGGAGCCAGCCAUGCCUAGAUCAGAGAAGAGCAUUCCAGGCAGAGGAACAGCUAGUGCAAAACCCAAGGUGGGCUAACCCAAAGAAUCACAAGAAAAAAAAACUCCAGACUGAUAUCCCUGAAUAUAGAUGCACAAGUCCUCCACAGAGUUAGCAAACCGAAUCCAGCAACAUAUAAAAAAGGAUUAUACAUGAUGACUAAGUGGGAUUGUUUUUUGGGUUUUUUUUUUUUUUUUUGAGUUGGUGUCUCGCCCUGUUGCCUAGGCUGUAGUGCAAUUGUGCAGUUUCAGCUCACUACAACCUCUGCCUUCUGGGCUCCAGCAAUUCUCCUACCUCAGCCUCCUGAGUAUCUGGGACUAUAGGCAUGCAGCACCAUGCUCAGCUCAUUUUUUUGUAUUUUUAGUAGAGAUGGGGUUUCACCAUGUUGGCCAGGCUGGUCUCAAACUCCUGAACUUGAGUGAUCCGCCCACCUCAGCCUCCCAAAGUGCUGGGAUUACAGGUGUGAGCCAUCACACCCUGCCCCAAGUGGGAUUUAUCCAAGGAAUGCAAGGUUGGUUCAACAUAUGAAAAUCAGUCAAUAUAACAUAUCAUAUUAGUAGAAUAAAGGACAAAAGCUACAUCACUGUCUCAAUAGAUGCAGAAAAAGCAUUUGACAAAAUCCAACACAUUUAAAAAAACCUCAAUAAACUAGAAAUAGAAGAGCAUUUCCUCAACUUGAUAAAGGACAUCUAUGAAGACCCUGUAACUAACAUCAUACUUAAUGAAAGAAGCCAAGCGCAGUGGUGGAUGCUUGUAGUCCCAGGUAUUUUGGAGGCUGAGCGGGAGGAUUGCUUGAGGCCAGGAGUUCGAGACCAGCCUGGACAAUAUAGCCAGACUUUGUCUCUUAAAAAAAAAAAAAAGAAGAAAGAAAAUAAAGACAAAGCCUUUCCCUUAAGAUAACAAAGAAGAUAAAGAUGUCUGCUCUCUCAAAGUUAAAUGUCUUCUAUUUAACUUUGUUCUGUUGGGGCAAUUAGACAAGAAAAAAGAAACAAAAGGCAACCAAACAAAAGGUUGGAAAGGAAGAAGUAAAGCUGUCUGUAUUUGUAGAUGAUAUGAUCUUGCAUAUAGAAAAUCAUGAAGAAUUUCCAGAAAAACUAUUAGAGCUAAUGAACAGUAAAGAAGACCUAAGUAAAUGGAAAGACCCCAGUAUUCAUUGAUUGGAUAAACGUAGUAUUAGUAUUGUUAAGAUGUCUCUACUCCCCAAGUUGAUGUACAGAUUCAACACAAUUCCUAAAAAAAAAUCCCAAUUGGCUUCUUUGUACAAAUUGACAAGCUGCUCCUAAAAUGUAUAUGGAAUUGCAAGGGGCCCAGAAUAGCCAAAACUAACAAAAUUGGAGGACUUAUAGUUCUCAGUUUCAAAACUUGCUGCAAAACUACAGUAACCAAGAUAGUGUGGUACUGGCUAUAGCUCAUUAGAAUCGAAUUAAGGGUCUAGAAAUAGGCCAAGCAUGAUGGCUCAUGCCUGUAGUCCCAGCACUUUGGGAGGCUGAGGCAGGUGGAUUACUUGAGGUCAGGAGUUUGAGACCAGCCUGGCCAACAUGGUGAAACCUCAUCUCUACUAAAAAUAUUUACAAAAAUUAGCCAGAUGUGGUGGCGCAUGCUUGUAGUCCCAGCUACUCAGGAGGCUAAGGCACAAGAAUCACUUGAACCUGGGAGGUGGAGGUUGCAGUGAGCUGAGAUCACACCACUGCACUCCAGCCUGGGUGACAGAGUGAGACUGUCUCAAAUUUUUUUAAAAGUCUAGAAAUCCAUACAUUUAUGGUCAAUUGAUUUUUUUUUUCCUAAAGGUAGUUCCCAAAAGAUAGUUCUUUUUUUACUAUUAUUAUUUUAAGUUCUAGGGUACAUUUGCACAAUGUGCAGGUUUGUUACAUAUGUAUACAUGUGCCAUGUUGGUGUGCUGCACCCAUUAACUCAUCAUUUACAUUAGGUAUAUCUCCUAAUGCUAUCCCUCCCCCUCCCCAACCUUUUUUUUUGUUGUUGUUGUUGACAAGAGUGCCAAGACAAUCCAAUGGAGAAAGAAUAGUAUUCUCAAUAAAUGGAGCUGGGACAACUGGAUGUCCACAAUCAAAAGAAUGAAUUUAGACCCUAUGUCACAUCAUAUGUAAAAGUUAAAGAAGCUAAAUGAAUAGCUAAAACUAGAAAACUCUUAGAAGAAAAUAUAGGUGUAAAUAUUCAUGACAUUGAAUUAGGCAGUGGUUUCUUAGAUAUGAUGCCAUGAAGCAUAAGCAAUCAGAUGAAAAAUAGAGAAAUUGGACUUCAUCAAAAUUAAAAAUAGUUGUGCUUCAAAGGUCACUGUCAACAAAGUAAAAAAGACAGGUAGGCCAGGCAUGAUGGCUCAUGCCUAUAAUCCCGGCACUUUGGGAGGCUGAGACAGGAGGAUUGCUUGAGCCCAAGAGUUUGAGAACAGACUGGGCAAUGUAGUGAGUCCCCAUCAUUACAAAAAGUAAAAAAUUAGCUGGGCAUCAUGGUGCACACCUGUUGUCCUAGCUACUUGGGAGGCUGGAAUGGGAGGAUGCACUUGAGCCGGGGAGGUCGAGGCUGCAAUGAGCUGUGAUUGCACUACUGUGUUUUAUCCUGGGUGACAAAGUGAGACCUUGUCUCAAAAAAAGAAAAAAAAGAAAAAGACAGCUUACAGAAUGGGAGGGAAUAUUUGCAAAUCAUAUAACUGAUAAGGGCCUCAUAUCCAGAGUAAAGAACUCUUAUAAUAACUCAGCAGUGAAACGACAAAUAACCCAAUUAAAAAUGGCCAAAAAUUCUGAGUAAACAUUUCUUUUUUGUUUUUGAGAUGGAGUCUUGCUCUUGUUGCCCAGGCUGGAGUGCAAUGGCGUGACCUUGGCUCAUUGCAACCUCUGCCUCCUAGAUUCAAGCGAUUCUCCUGCCUCAGCCUCCCAAGUAGCUGGGAUUAUAGGCACGCGCCACCACGCCCAACUAAUUUUUGUACUUUUAGUAGAGACGGGGUUUCACCAUGUUGGCCUGGCUGGUCUUGAACUCCUAUCCUCAGGUGAUCCACCUACCUUUGCCUCCCUAAGUGCUGGGAUUACAGGCAUGAGCCACUCACCUGGCCCUGAGUAGACAUUUCUUUCAAGCAGAUACAUAAUAUGAAUGGCCAAUAAGCACAUAAAAGAUUAGCAACUUCACCUGUCUUUAGGGAUAUGCAAAUCAGAACCACAGUGAGAUACCACUUCACAUCCAUUAGGAUGGCUAUAAUUCAAAAAACAGACAAAAACUAGUGUUGGCAAGGAUGUGGAGAAAUUUGGAAACUUCAUACAUUUGUGGUACCAUGUUUACCUCUUAAAAAUGGUGCAACCUGUGUGGAAAACAGUUCGGUGGUUCCUCAAAAAGUUAAACACAGAAUUAUCUUAUGUCCCAGCGUUUCUAUUCCUAGGUUUAUACUCAAGAGAAUUGGAAACAUUAUGCUCACACAAAAAUAUGUACCCGAAUCUUCAUAGCAGCAUUAUUCAGAAUAGCCAAAAAGUGAAAACAACCCAAAUAUCCAACUGAUGGAUGUGUAAAUAAAAUGUGGUAUAUAGCCAUACAAUGGAAUAUUAUUAAUACUCAGCCAUAACCAUAAUCACAUGCUAUGACAUGGAUGAACCUGAAAAAUAUGCUAAGUGAAAAAACCCUGUCACAACAGACUACAUAUGUUAUUAUUCCAUUUAUAUGAAAUGUCCAAAAUAGGCAAAUCCAUAGGCUGGAGGAGAGAGGUUAAUGGGAAGUUUCUGAUAAUGGAUGUGUGUUUUUUGUGGGGAAGAGGGGUUAUGAAAAUGUUCUAAAAAUUAGGCAAGAAAAAAACGAGUGGCAUUGGUUGAAUGACCCUGAGUCUAUUAAAAACCACUGAUUUGGAAGCUUCAAAAGGGUGAAUUUUCUGGUAUGUGAAUUACAUCUCAAUAAAGCUGUCAAAAAACAAAACAAAACAAAACAAAAAACAACCCAAGAUGGAAAAGAGAUGGACAUGUUUGAGGGACAGAAAUGAGGCUGGUGUGGCUGGAGCAUAGCUGGCAAGAUGGAGAGUAGCUAAGGUGAGGGGAGAAGCAAGAUUGAGUAGGAUUGAUGUGCAGUGGGACGACAUCAGAGGGCCACGGCAGGGAGUAAUGGGAUUAGGUAUGUACAUUCUUAAAAGGUUGCCCUGGCUGCUGCUAGAGAGUGGAGUGGAGGUCAGUUAGGGAACUGGUUGGGUGUGGUGGCUCAUACCUGUAAUACCAGCACUUUGGGAGGCCAAGAAGAGUGGAUCGCUUGAGCCCUGGAGUUCUAGACCAGUCUGGGCAACAUGGUGAAACCCUGUGUCUACAAAAUAUACAAAAAUUAGCUAGGUAUCGUGGGAUGCACCUAUAGUCCCAGCUACUCGGGAGGCUGAGGUAGGAGGAUCACUUGACCCUGGGAGGUUGAGGCUGCAGUGAGCUGUGAUUCCACCACUGCACUCCAGCCUGGGCAACAGAGCAAGAUCCUGUCUCUAAAAAAAAAUUUUUUUAAAUUAAAAAAAAAAGAAGCUGCUGCAACUGUAGCCAGAUGACAGAUGAUGGCAGUUUGGAACAAUGAUAAUGGUGGAUAGAAAGAAGUGGACAUCCAGACUAUGCUUGGAGAUAGAGUCAGUGGAAUUUGCUGAUGGAAUCUGGGAAAUUAGGGAAAGAUAAAUUAGGAUCAUUCAUAGAUUUUUGGCUUGAGAAACUGGGUGAAUAUGGAACCAUUUAAUUGAGAUGAGGAUGUCUGGGGAGGAACAAAUUUGGGAAGAGAAAUCAAUAGUUUUGGCCAUGUUAAGUUUGACAUAUGUUAAGUUAGAAGACAUUCAUAUGGAGAUAUCAAAUAGACAACUUCCUGAGAUGCAAUUUAGGCCAGUAGCUUGAAAUCUCUUGGUACCUAUAACUUACUACAUGAUGAUUCUUACCCUCUGCAGUUUAUCUUCCCUGUACACGGAGAAAAGCUUUGUGCUAUAAAAGACUGCCAGAAGGGCAGCCAGAGCUGCCCUUUACUAACUGAGAGGAAGGCCCUUGUCUUUGAGCUUCUGCUUUUUUUUUUUUUACCUCUAAAGUGGGGUUAAUGACCAUGUACACAACUGUCAAGAUCAAAGGAAAUGAACUAGGUGAAUGUAAAUUCAUGCAAACAUACUGUUUUGGCAGUAAUGAUGGCAGACACCAAAAUGAUUAUAUUCUUACCAUCCCUUUCCUUUCUACAAUGCUCUGAUGAUAAGGUGAGCUUUACCUCCUCAAGAACAAGACUAUAUUCUGAGUAUGUACCUAGCAUGUUUAUUACUCUCAGAAAAUAGAAAUCUUUUUUAGUCAGUAAGCAUGUUUCAAAAAUAUUUUGAGUUAUUUAAAAGAAAAAAAUUGCACAUAUGAAAAUCGUUUCAGAACUUUUAUUGAAGCAGGCGAAAGAAAAGUGAGCCAGCAGGUUAUAGAAGAGGCUAUGACAUAGAUACGGUUAUGAACUUGUUCUUCAAAUUCAUUUACUUAUUUGAUUUAAUGUUCAAAUUAUUACAACAACCUAACUCUUCUGAAACUGAAAUACCCUCUUUAAGGGAUGUCAUAAAAAGAGCACUACACUGAGAAUCAGAAAACAGAAGCCAGUCCUGGCUUUGCUACUAACUAGCUGGGUCCAACCUUGGAAAAAUAGCUGCAUUUCUCUGAGCCUCACUCUCUUCAUGUAUGAAAUAGAGGAUUGAACUACAGUCUGGAAAUAAAUGCAUUCAAUUCAGAAAUUUUAGAGAACUUAUUUCCUGGUGUGUGUUAAAUUUUAUUAACAUUUAAAUCAGGCUCUAGGAUCUCAGGUAUGUUGGAAAUGUGUUACAUGAUAAAGGUGGUAUUUCAUACUGGAGGGAGGGGUAAGAUGGAUUAUCUAGUAAAUAGUAUUGGGAUAACUGGCCAACCAUUGGUGGGGGAAGCCCUCAAAUCCUAUCUUUUAAAAUCAUAGUAACUGCUAUAUUAUAACAAUGCAUAUGUAGUUAACAAUACUGUACGGUAUACUUACAAUUUGUUAAUUGAGUAGAUUUUUCUUACAUGUUUUUUACCAUAAUAAAACAAAAUAUAGAUGGAUUAAGGAUUUAAAUAUAAAAAAUAAAAUCACAAGGACUAGAAAAAAGCACAACUGAAUAAUUUGACAAUAUUUAAUAAUCUUAAAGUGUGGGGUAGGCCUUUUUAAGUAUGAUAUGAACCACGAAAGUCAUGAGAGAAAAGACUUAUGAAAAUAAAAAACUUAUGCAUGGAAAAAAUGGCUGUCCCCAAGAUUAAAAGUCAACAAAACUGAGGAAAAUAUUCACAACACAUAAGAGUUAAAAGGCUAAUUUCCUAAAUAUAGAAAAUAUUUUUGCAAAUUAAUGAGAUAACCAUCCCAGUUUUAAAAAAUAUAACCAAAGGGCAUAAAUAGGCAGGUUACAGAUAAAUAAAUUAAAAGUGCACAUAAAUACAUGGACAGCUCCUCAGCUUCACUAAUAAUAAACAGCAAGAGAUUAUCAUAUUUUUUUCUCACUUAUCCAGGCAGUUUAGCAAUAAAAUGUUGAUGCUGUUUAACCCAGGCAUUCCACUUUAAAAACAAACAAAAAACCCCAAAACUAUUAUCCAGAAAUGUGUAAGUCCUCAAAGAUAUAUCUACAAGGUUAUUACCCUAGUUUAUAGUGUUAUAAAUAGCAAUAAAUUGAAAAUAACUGAAAUAUCUAUCAUAAAGGUAGUUGCAUAAAUUACGUAUUCAUAAAAUGGGUUACUGUGCAGCAGAUAGAGUGAAAUCAAUAAGUAUGUACUGAUGAAACAUCAAUGCUUUAUGGUCCAAUAACAAAAGUCCUUGUAAAAUAGUAUUGAUGCAGGACUUCUUGCUCCUUAACUCAGCUAAAAUCUGGGUUCUUGACUCACAACCAGGAAAAAUUAGGCACGUGGACACAUUGAAAGGUGAGGAGAGCGGAAUUUAUUAAAAGAAAGCUCUCAGCAAAAAAGAGGGGGUCCUGCCAACAGGCUCCCACCUCACAGAUUAAAUACCAGGCCACCACACAGGAGCUGAAGAGGCCAGGUUCUUCCCCUGCAUAAGGCACAAAUUCCUGGUGGCUCCACCCCCAUUCUUCCAGUGCUCAUGCGGGCCCUUAGUCUGAGCCACGCCACAUUGAUUUAUUUCCUUUACUGUGCAUGUGUUAAGGGACAGAAUUUUUCACCAUGGACAUGUUUAGGCAAGCCCACUGUGUAUAAUGACUGGGGUGGCAUUUGGCUGUCUCCUGUCUCUAUCACUGUGUUCUAAGUUUUUAUAAUAAUAUUUGUAGAAAAAAAUACAGGGAAAUGCACAUCAGACUUAACAGUCGUUACCUAUAGGGAUGGGAAUAAAUACAGAAUACUAUCACUUUCUAAAAUUUUUUAACAUAAUUGAUGUAAUGCUUGCAUUUUUUCGUAAGGAUAAUUUUUAAUUGGAAAUAUUAGUAUAUUAGAUAUAAACAUUGAUUUAAAAGUAACAUUUAAGAUAGUAUAAAUCGGCUGAGUGCGGUGGCUCACGCCUGUAAUCCCAGCACUUUGGGAGGCUAAGGCGGGCGGAUCACAAGGUCAGGAGUUAGAGACCAUCUUGGCUAACACGGUGAAACCCCGUCUCUACUUAAAAUACAAAAAAAUUAGCCGGGCGUAGUGGCGGGCGCCUGUAGUCCCAGCUACUCGGAGAGGCUGAGGCAGGAGAAUGGCGUGAACCCGGGAGGCGGAGCUUGCAGUGAGCCGAGAGGGCGCCACUGCACUCCAGCCUGGGCGACAGAGCGAGACUCCGUCUCAAAAAAAAAAAAAAAAAAAUAGAAAAAAUUAGCCAGGCGUGGUGGCGGGCGCCUGUAGUCCCAGCUACUCAGGAGGCUGAGGCAGGAGAAUGGCGUGAACCCAGGAGGCGGAGCUUGUGGUGAGCCAAGAUCGCGCCACUACACUCCAGCCUGGUGACACAACGAGACUCCGUCUCAAAAAAAAAAAAAAAAAAAAAACAA